RNAcentral lists this microRNA precursor (80 nucleotides) under Medicago truncatula (barrel medic). RNAcentral describes it as "MIR5269 microRNA precursor family". It matches the Rfam family "MIR5269 microRNA precursor family". The record is from Rfam by way of RNAcentral. Lineage: Eukaryota; Viridiplantae; Streptophyta; Magnoliopsida; Fabales; Fabaceae.
UUGGGCAAAAUCAAUGUGGAUCCCACACUUUGGAAAUGAGUCCCACAUAAAAUGGUGGGAUCCACAUUGAUUUUGCCUAG